Molecule: ribosomal RNA, 548 nt
Filed under: uncultured Glomeromycotina
Lineage: Eukaryota; Fungi; Glomeromycota
Also listed under: 1 other name
Description: SSU rRNA
Rfam family: Eukaryotic small subunit ribosomal RNA
Source: RNAcentral
UUGGAGGGCAAGUCUGGUGCCAGCAGCCGCGGUAAUUCCAGCUCCAAUAGCGUAUAUUAAAGUUGUUGCAGUUAAAAAGCUCGUAGUUGAAUUUCGGGAUCAGAUUGUUGGUCGUGCCUCGGUACGUACUGGCAUUAUUGGUUCCUACCUUCUGAAGAACCGCGAUGUCAUUAAUUUGGUGUCGUGGGGAAUCAGGACUGUUACUUUGAAAAAAUUAGAGUGUUUAAAGCAGGCGCACGCUUGAAUACAUUAGCAUGGAAUAAUGAAAUAGGACGUUUGAUUCUAUUUUGUUGGUUUCUAGGAUCGACGUAAUGAUUAAUAGGGAUAGUUGGGGGCAUUAGUAUUCAAUUGUCAGAGGUGAAAUUCUUGGAUUUAUUGAAGACUAACUACUGCGAAAGCAUUUGCCAAGGAUGUUUUCAUUAAUCAAGAACGAAAGUUAGGGGAUCGAAGACGAUCAGAUACCGUCGUAGUCUUAACCAUAAACUAUGCCGACUAGGGAUCGGAUGAUGUUAAUUUUUUAAUGACUCAUUCGGCGCCUUACGGGAAAC